RNAcentral lists this long non-coding RNA (272 nucleotides) under Arachis ipaensis. Its description in RNAcentral is "long non-coding RNA (AIPA_LNC001907)". The record is from RNAcentral. Lineage: Eukaryota; Viridiplantae; Streptophyta; Magnoliopsida; Fabales; Fabaceae.
UAUGAACCACCACUGCCACCAACCCCCCUUGGUCCAGCACGUUAAAGACAUCCACUACGAUUAUGACCAUAUCUCCCACAAAGACAACAUACCCGGAGACCAUGCAUUUUCCGUGAAUCUAUUUCAUUCAGAUAGCGAGUCAAUUUGGGACGACCUUUUGACUUUCGUCUCAAGGCAGGAUUCGCGACCAUUGUCGGCCCCAGGUAAUCAGGCCAUGUCUCUGUGUCGUCCAACGGGUCAAACUCAACUCUGGAGACCUUGCGAAUCUCUGG